This is a long non-coding RNA of Alosa sapidissima (American shad), 156 nucleotides long. RefSeq lists it as uncharacterized. The transcript is spliced from 2 exons. Lineage: Eukaryota; Metazoa; Chordata; Actinopteri; Clupeiformes; Clupeidae. The record is from RefSeq and is a predicted model, not a curated record.
CAACACAGGGCAGAAAUGGAGAUUAAAUUUAAACAAUGCUAGGUGACGUCACACUCAAGUGUGGGUUGUUUUUUACAAAUUAUACUAUCUGAAUGUCUCUUCCUUUUGAAGAUGAAUUUGAAAUCUGGACUGCAGAACAGUACUAACUGAAUGAGG